This 301-nucleotide ribosomal RNA is filed under the name uncultured bacterium. Its description in RNAcentral is "partial 16S ribosomal RNA". It matches the Rfam family "Bacterial small subunit ribosomal RNA", at positions 509 to 807 of the family's 1533-position model. The record is from RNAcentral.
CAGCAGCCGCGGUAAUACAGAGGAUGCAAGCGUUGUCCGGAAUUAUUGGGCGUAAAGGGCUCGCAGGCGGUUUCUUAAGUCUGAUGUGAAAGCCCCCGGCUCAACCGGGGAGGGUCACUGGAAACUGGGAAACUUGAGUGCAGAAGAGGAGAGUGGAAUUCCACGUGUAGCGGUGAAAUGCGUAGAGAUGUGGAGGAACACCAGUGGCGAAGGCGACUCUCUGGUCUGUAACUGACGCUGAGGAGCGAAAGCGUGGGGAGCGAACAGGAUUAGAUACCCGUGUAGUCCCUGUCUCUUAUAC